This 432-nucleotide unclassified non-coding RNA is filed under the name soil metagenome. RNAcentral's name for it is "partial contains 5.8S ribosomal RNA, internal transcribed spacer 2, and large subunit ribosomal RNA". The stretch from base 1 to 120 matches the Rfam family "5.8S ribosomal RNA", at positions 35 to 154 of the family's 154-position model. The record is from RNAcentral.
GAUGAAGAACGUAGCGAAAUGCGAUACGUAAUGUGAAUUGCAGAAUUCAGUGAAUCAUCGAAUCUUUGAACGCAUAUUGCGCUCUCUGGUAUUCCGGAGAGCAUGCUUGUUUGAGUAUCAGUAAACACCUCAACUUCCAUAUCUUUUUUGAAAUGGGAGUUGGACUUGAGUGAUCCCAACGCUUUUCCUCACCGAAAAGUGGCGGGUUACUUGAAAUGCAGGUGCAGCUGGACUUUUCUCUGAGCUAUAAGCAUAUCUAUUUAGUCUGCCUAAAAAACAGAUUAUUACCUUUGCUGCAGCUAACAUAAAGGAGAUUAGUUCUUGUGCUGACUGAUGCAGGAUUCACAAAGAAGGCUUCGGCCGACUUUGUAAACUCGAUCUCAAAUCAAGUAAGACUACCCGCUGAACUUAAGCAUAUCAAUAAGCGGAGGA